RNAcentral lists this ribosomal RNA (253 nucleotides) under uncultured prokaryote. RNAcentral describes it as "partial 16S ribosomal RNA". It matches the Rfam family "Bacterial small subunit ribosomal RNA", at positions 524 to 776 of the family's 1533-position model. The record is from RNAcentral.
GACGAAGGAUGCAAGCGUUAUCCGGAUUCAUUGGGUUUAAAGGGUGCGUAGGCGGACUUGUAAGUCAGUGGUGAAAUCUCUCAGCUUAACUGAGAAACUGCCAUUGAUACUGCAGGUCUAGAGUACAGAUGAUGUGGGCGGAAUAUGACAUGUAGUGGUGAAAUACUUAGAUAUGUCAUAGAACACCGAUUGCGAAGGCAGCUCACAAAACUGUAACUGACGCUGAGGCACGAAAGUGCGGGGAUCAAACAGG